UCGGGCAGCCGAGCCGCCCCGGCCCCCGCCCCGGUAGCGCUUCUUCCUCUACACGUUCUCCUGCUGCUCCUGUCUGACACCACGCACUUCUUGCCCGCUCCCUCUUCCACCCCACGGCCAGGCAGCGCCGGGCGCUUUCCCGAGGCACCGGGACGGACAUUGGGGCGGGAUCUCCCGCCCUCCCCCUCAGCCCCGCUCCCGGCACGGCUGCUGCCCGCCCCCGGGAGCCGGCCAGGACUCCAGCCAAAGCGGUGGAUAUAGGAAUCUGGGAUAACCGGUAAAUAUGGCAACGCACGUAACUGUUGUUAUGCUCUAAAGAUUUCAGUAUGAGACAGGCAACUAGACAGCUCUUUCUGAGGCAUAUGCAAGUUUGUUUUUAUAAAAUCGAUGUAAUUCUUCCAGCAUUUAAAGUAGUUCUUUGAAGUGAGCUCCCUGAACACAAGAUUCGUUUGUGAAGAGCUGGCAGGUGUCUCAUUACACACACACGCACACAGAUAUCAGGAGCUGCUUCCUUUCCCCCAGCAUACCUGAUCUCUGCUCCGUGCAAGACCCUCCUUCAGCUUUCUCUGGCAAACUUCAGGAUGAUGCUGUCUGUGGAAACUGUUAAAAACAAAAACAUAUGCACCUUUGUGGUGAUGUCGUUUGGAUAUUUUGUUUUGAAUGCUCUUUAAGGCCUGUUUUAACAAAGGCCUCUGCCUAUGGGUACACGAUAAAAUACAAUGCAAUAUGAAGACUGAUGUUAUCCAUCUAACCUUGUCACCUGUUCAGUUACCAGUUUGUUGUGAUUCUCUUAAAUAUACUAUUUCAGAAUUAUGAUUUCACAGCCUCUGCCAGAUACAAAAUAACAGAUUCUGUGUGGCAUUUGGAAAGGAGACAACUCCUCACACCGAAACUGCAGUGGUGAGUGCUGCAUGCCCAUUCCUCCCAGGAAUGGUCUUAAAAUCCUUGUAUUUCCUUCUCUGUUGCUUGACUUCCUCCCUCUUUUCCAACACAGUUGCUGUUGUUCUCAUGGUGAUGAUACUUAGUGCUGUGUUUGCCUUUUGGCACAAACGUCUGGAGAAGGUAGUUGUUUUCUGAAUCUGCAUCCACAAGCAGUAUCACCUAAAUCGUGCUGUCCUGAGAAGAAUGGACUCGUGGGAACAUAGGAAACUUUGUCACAACAAGAGUUUGUUGCAUUGGGUAACACAAACUUAGAGCUUUCAAGAGGGUAUUUUAAUGAUUUUAAUAACAAGGAAAAGACAUACACAAUAAGUAAUAACAUAAAAGGCCCUUUGGCCAUAUUUUAUAAUGCUCCACACACUUUGCUUACUUUACCUGAUGGAGUUUGAGUUUCCCCAAAAAAUGCUUUAAGAGAAAGGGAAUAAUUUAUUAUUUUUCCCAAGACUGAGACCUGCUGGUAUCUGUCAUACAAUGAUGUGUUUAAAAGCUCCAUAUCAAUAUUUUGGUUUCCUGCAUAAAAAAGUCUCCAUCAUCACAGAAGAGAUACUUAUUAAGAUCAUGAUUUGAAAAACACAAACAAUGAAGGCCUCAAAAGGAUUAUUUUUUUUUUAAGCUGACAUCCUGAAAAUGUAUGAACGUGUUGAAAACAGCUUUAGCCACUUGCAAGGACCUGUGGAAAAAUAAAACAAGUUUCCUUGAGUCUGAGGCUUACAGAAGGCUUCUUCAUCUUGGAGACAGUGUUCCUCUGAGUGAUGGCAUCAGAAAGAUGGGGAGGCCCAGCAAGGAAACAUUGAACAUAUAAGAUAUGCAAGAUUUAUUUUGUUAACACUGUGCACAUAUCUUGAAGAGUAAAGGAGCCACUAUAUCCUUGUUGUAAUAUCUCAUCCUAAUCGCAGAGGCCGUGUUUUAGAUGUCUUUGUGUAGCAAAUGGAGAAGGAAAACUGCUUUGACCUCACUCAUCCCAAUACUGGAAAAUAUCCUGGUUCACUUCCAAAAUAAAGUUCAACCAAGGGCCACCCAAGUGUAAUACCCUGUUCAAUUACAAAAUAAUCCUUAGGCUGGAACCCACAGAAGAAUGCAUAUUGCCAUUUCCCACCAUGGCUAAAGGAACUCAAGACACUUGGUAAAGCUCAAUACUGAGCAAAAAUACAUAAGGAAAUAAAUAAAUAAAUAAAUAAAUAAAUAAAGACUCUAAAAAAAUUAGACAAUUCCUCUCCCCUGUUUUUGGCUAUGGAACACGUUAGUCUGGAAUUAAAGCAAUAACAUGUUUCAGAAUUCAAUGUCCAAACCAUCAGAUAACUGGAACUUCUGGAUAUCUUCCCCUGUAAAAUAGCAUGCAAGUUAAAUCUGAAAUGCCUGCAUUUUAUAUAGACCACGUUUUAAAUGCAAACAUGUAUAAAAAUGCUAUGAUGUACAAAACACUAGACAGCUAUCCUUUUGCUAUGCAUCAAUUCCAGAAAACAACUGGAAAUCCCUUGGAAAGUUUGAUGUAAUUACAUCUGACUGUAAAUCUUUGACUGUUUUAAUAUACUCAGGUGACCUAAAUAACAUUACACAGAUGAAAAAUUAAUUUAAAGUAAUUAAGAAAGAGUAUUUGUCUCAAGAUCAGUUUCUCUUAGAAAUUACUGCUCUGAAAAGUCCUGUAUGCUUUGUUCUACAGCCAUAAUCUUUGUAUUUCCACAUUGUAAAUACUCCAUGGUAAAUUGCAAUGGAAGCUCGGCUUGGCUUAAGUUCUCCUGGCUCUGUGGUACUGCUUCUUGGUUAAGGAAAUGGAUUUCAUUCUCAGUUUUUGUCAUUCUAUGGUUUAAUUUACGGAUGAUUUAUAUGUGUCCUCUGCUAGUUUAAUGGUGACUUUUCUUCAACAUGAAUUUCUGUCAUGCUCGAACAACUAAUUUACAGACACAAGGGAUAUGUUGAUAAUUAUCCGUUAAAAUGUCUCAACCAAACACUCUUUCUAGAGGUGUAAAUGAAGAUAAUGGAAAAUUCAGUCAGCAGUUCAAAUGAGGUUUCCUUGAACUGAGUUGCUCCUUUCCUCUGGUGUUGUGCCAAGCAAGUUGAGCGUGGCCAGAAGCUGCCCCUUCUAGAUUGGCUGGCAUUGACAUGUAUUAGCUGGCUUCAUGUGCUUUAGAUGGGAGGUGAGAGCUCAUUAAAGCAUUUGAUUUACAAUGCAGUAGUGAUACAGUAAUGCAGAUCAGCCAUGCUGUUCACGUGCAAUAGUUGCCUAUUCCUUUCUAUUUCCUCAGGGCUUCUGGAAACAAGAGCAGGUAGGAGUUAGUAAUAGUCUGGAUGAAUUGUGGCCACUUGCACUGCUGUGCUUGAAAAGUGCCGUGUGGUGUAUUAUGGCCCAAAUAAAUCUGCCACUCUGUUUGUGGAUUGUCCAUGCAGAAAUACGUGUGGGACCUGCUUUUUGAAAGUUAAAUUCUGAUGCCUCAAAAUACCUCCUGUGGCAUGGGUUAUUUGUGAAAAUUGCUUGUAGAGUGUGUUCCUGAAGUGAGUUUGAAUUCAAUCUUUUAAAGUCACCCUUAAUUCAAAAAAGUCAUAAAAAACUGUAGAGCUGCUUUGUGGAAUUAGAUAGCUACAACAAUAUGAGUUUCCAUCAAAACUGGGCAAUCACUGCCCUCAAGGAAGGUGUGUAAAAAAGUACAGGGAGCAAGGUGAAGCUGGGAAAUUAUGACGAGGGGAGAUGAAGAAGGCAGGACAGAGGCACUAAGAGUUUGAUCCUGAGAAACAACAGAAAAAAAAUCUGAAAGCCAGAAGAGAUCUGGGAUUAUGAUAAAAUGAACCAUCUCAAAUUCUUUGAUUCUUUGUAUGCAAGGAAAUAGAAUUCUAUGCUUUUCUUAAUAAAUAAAAGCAUGCACUUGUAAUCUCGAUUUCUUCCUUGAACAAAACAUUCUGUACACCAGCAAAUUUUCUUUAAACUCUGAAAUCAAAAAAGGUAUGAGUUGCAUUAGCAGUCUUGUGGAGACUGCAUUCAACAGCAGUGCUGGACUGACAAGCAGAGAUAACAUCUUAGCUAACCUCCAGAUUCAGUCAGCCAUAAGCACACUGUGAACUUUUUUUCUAACUACCAAGUUGAUGCUAUUUUUAAAAAAACCCACAUACGGAUUAUUUUCAAAUGAAGACAUUUAAGUGUAGCAUUUCAUUAAAGAAAAAAGUGACAACAUAUACUUUAGCUUUCUAUUUCAUCUUAAAUCACAUAACUAGAUUAUUGCAAUAUUCUUUAAAUUCAGAAGUCCCUUUCUCAAAUGGCAGCGAAAAUAGCUUUUCUCGUGACUGUUUAACUUCUAAGAAAGCUACUUUUUUUUGCUCUUUUAUGUCAAUCCUUCCCAUGCACUGUCAUCAUUUUACCAGGGUAAUAGUCUAUUUUCUUUCCUUCUCUUCUUUCUUCAGUAUCUUCUGUAAUUUUCUUCACUAAGGGAAAAGUUCUUGAUUCUGCUGAUCAGGGCACAACUGCUUGAGCAGGGUUCAGUGAGAUGGCUGUAGCAGUGUUGUCGCUGUGGAGACAGGAGCACCAAGGUUUGAACAGAGUUAGUAACCAGAAAUAUUGUGAAGAUAUAGACAACACCUGCUUGCUGCUCUGCCCAUUUGCAUCAGAGAUGCUGUAGAUUACCUGGGAAGGGGAGCACCAUCCAGUGAGUACUACUGUUCCUCCAGCUUGUAUUCAGACAUGGCAGAUCAUGAGCCUUGUCAUUAGUUAACAGUGGAUUCCUGCUGCUUUAUUAAAAACUUGCCUUAAUAUUUAAAUUUCUUUUAUUACUUUAUUUAGGAAUGACACAUUUUUCCCUUAGUGGGGACUGUACUAUGCAGUUUGCCACUCGGUUCUGGACUUUGGAGAACUGACUGCAGGUUUCAGCCUUCAAAAGCCCUAAGAAAUAUGGUAGGGCUAAUGCAGUACUUGUACAGCUGGGAGUUUUGCUUUGUGCUGCCUCAGCAGCAAGGAACAGGAUUGUCUGACCUGGCAACGUUUCUGUCCUUUUCUUUUUUUUUUUCUUUUUGCCAUUCAAGUGCUUUCCCCCUAGAAUUCAAGGAAACUCAUAUUUUGGUUUUUUUCUGAUGAUUUAUCAAAUCCUUUUAAAGUAGUGUGGAUGUUGGCUGAACCUUCUGCAGGUUCAGCCUGUAGUGGCUAAACUGAGUGGAAGCCAAGGAGUUCUCUAAUGUCUGUUAUAAGUCAAGGGUCAUGUUGUAUAUGGAGCAAAAUACAUGUAUAGUGAGAGGAAGCAGAGUUUCCCUAUGUUUUAAAUAAACAAUAGGUCUAAAUUCUAGUUAUUGGUGAUAGGAAGAUGUUUUUGUUCUGUGAGAUUUCUGUUUCCUGUGACACUCUAUAAGGUACAUCUCCUUCAUGUUUGCUGGCAUUAUUUGUUUUUUCUAAAUGUGUGAUGCAGCACAUUCUUAAAAAUAACUGUCAACUUUGUAUUUGUUUUCAAGAAAGUGCUGAUACUAUAUAUUGUACUAAUUUUGGAUUGCAGCAACAGCCAUAAAAUAGGCACACUCAGCAAGAAAUCCAGCAUGACUGUUUUUGGAUUUAGUGUCAUAGGUGAACUGAAGAUAGCAUGAGUUGAUAAAUUUCAUGUACUUUGAAUCUGUGAAUGUGUUUAAAAAUGAGUUCUAAACAUUAAUAUUUUUAAAGCUGCUCAUCACACAUUGAAACCGCUUAUUUUACUUUACUAUCCUUGUAUGAAUUUGUUCACAAGAUGGUUCAUCAAAGCAGUGUAUUUUAAGGGCUAUAUGUUUAUAAAAUACCAAAAGUAGCAGGAUAGUUUAAUUUUGGCUGGUGGUUGUUCACAGUAAGUCCGAACAGGGUCUAUGAAAUAGGCUUAGAGCCUUGUGAAUCUUCUAGCAGAAGACACAGACAGUACAUGAAAACAUUAACAUUUCUUGAAGUUGUUAAUUGCUCUGAAUAAAUCAACAAUUAUUUAUUACAAUGAA
Molecule: non-coding RNA, 5865 nt
Organism: Cyanistes caeruleus (blue tit)
Lineage: Eukaryota; Metazoa; Chordata; Aves; Passeriformes; Paridae
Source: RefSeq, a predicted model, not a curated record